RNAcentral lists this ribosomal RNA (377 nucleotides) under uncultured cyanobacterium. Its description in RNAcentral is "bacterial SSU rRNA". It matches the Rfam family "Bacterial small subunit ribosomal RNA", at positions 376 to 770 of the family's 1533-position model. Lineage: Bacteria; Bacillati; Cyanobacteriota. The record is from RNAcentral.
CGAAAGCCUGACGGAGCAAGACCGCGUGAGGGAGGAAGGCUCUUGGGUUGUAAACCUCUUUUCUCAAGGAAGAUAAUGACGGUACUUGAGGAAUCAGCAUCGGCUAACUCCGUGCCAGCAGCCGCGGUAAUACGGAGGAUGCAAGCGUUAUCCGGAAUAAUUGGGCGUAAAGCGUUCGUAGGUGGUGAUGUAAGUCUGCUGUUAAAGCGUGUAGCUUAACUACAUAUAGGCGGUGGAAACUACAUGACUAGAGUGCGUUCGGGGCAGAGGGAAUUCCUGGUGUAGCGGUGAAAUGCGUAGAUAUCAGGAAGAACACCGGUGGCGAAGGCGCUCUGCUAGGCCGUAACUGACACUGAGGGACGAAAGCUAGGGGAGCG